This 424-nucleotide ribosomal RNA is filed under the name uncultured prokaryote. RNAcentral's name for it is "bacterial SSU rRNA". It matches the Rfam family "Bacterial small subunit ribosomal RNA", at positions 355 to 796 of the family's 1533-position model. The record is from RNAcentral.
UGGGGAAUAUUGGACAAUGGGCGAAAGCCUGAUCCAGCAAUGCCGCGUGAGUGAUGAAGGCCUUAGGGUUGUAAAGCUCUUUUACUAGGGAUGAUAAUGACAGUACCUAGAGAAUAAGCUCCGGCUAACUCCGUGCCAGCAGCCGCGGUAAUACGGAGGGAGCUAGCGUUGUUCGGAAUUACUGGGCGUAAAGCGCGCGUAGGCGGCUAUCCAAGUCAGGGGUGAAAUCCCGGGGCUCAACCCCGGAACUGCCCUUGAAACUAGGUAGCUAGAAUAUUGGAGAGGUAAGUGGAAUUCCGAGUGUAGAGGUGAAAUUCGUAGAUAUUCGGAAGAACACCAGUGGCGAAGGCGACUUACUGGACAAUUAUUGACGCUGAGGUGCGAAAGCGUGGGGAGCAAACAGGAUUAGAUACCCCCGUAGUCC